This 481-nucleotide ribosomal RNA is filed under the name Calliptamus barbarus. RNAcentral describes it as "partial 16S ribosomal RNA". It matches the Rfam family "Archaeal large subunit ribosomal RNA", at positions 1886 to 2615 of the family's 2987-position model. The record is from RNAcentral. Lineage: Eukaryota; Metazoa; Arthropoda; Insecta; Orthoptera; Acrididae.
CCUCGCCUGUUUUAACAAAAACAUGUCCUCUUGAUGAUAUUUUGAGGUCUGGCCUGCUCACUGACAAGGUUUUGAAGAGCCGCGGUAUUUUGACCGUGCAAAGGUAGCAUAAUCAUUAGUCUCUUAAUUAGGGGCUGGAAUGAAUGGCUUGACGAGAAAUCAACUGUCUCUUAAUAAUUUUUAGAAUUUAACUUUUGAGUCAAAAGGCUUAAAUUUUUCUUUAGGACGAGAAGACCCUAUAGAGCUUAACAUUUUAUUUUUAUAUAGUUUUUAGUUGAUCUUUCUAUAUUUAAUGAUAAUGUUUUGUUGGGGUGACAUGAAGAAUAAUUAAACUCUUCAUUAUAAAAUCAUUGAUUUAUGUUUAUCAUGAUCCAUAAUUUAUGAUCAUAAGAUUAAGUUACCUUAGGGAUAACAGCGUAAUUGUUUUCGAGAGCUCAUAUCGACAAAACAGAUUGCGACCUCGAUGUUGGAUUAAGAAAAA